UGAUUGGUGAGUUCUCCUCAAGAAUGUUAAUGUCUCUGACUUGAAUGGAUGUUUCCAGUUAGCUAUCUGUAAGACAGGGCUUUGAGGUUUGCUGAAGGGAGGGGUUUUAUGUGGACCUCUCUUGACCAAGAGAACCAGUACUCAAGAGGACUAGGGGAAGCUUUAUGGUUUCCUCCAAGAAAUGAUUAUUGGAAGAUGGCGAUGUGGUGAACAGACGCAAAACAGCCUCUCUGAGAUUUGGGUCCAGAUCCUGGAAUAUAGCAACACGAGGAAAAGAAGGAGGAAACUGGGGUUCCAGGACCUAGCAAGGAUCUGAAGUGAGAAUUGGAGCCUACAGGGAGAGUGAAGAGGGAGACUUCAAUGAAGAAAGAGGAGGUGGCAAGUGGUGCUUUCUCCCUGAGCCCUGACUCAUUGCAUGGGAAGAGUAACUCUAACCUGCAGAUGCACUGUGACUACUGGUGACUCCAGAGGCUUCCACAGAGAAACAUAGCAGUGGAAAGGAGCAGUGGAUGCAGUGAACUGCAGUGACUGGUGAGUUAUUUGGGUUCAGAGGUCACCCAGGAAAGGGUGAUUGGCUGGUAGUCAUCUUGGAAAGGGGCCAACUGAGCUCAAAACUCAGAGCAGCUGCCCAGUGGCUCCAACAGCAUGAGGUGGAACCCAGUUCAAGUUGGCAGGAGGUCAAAGAGCCAAGUUCAAGCUGGCAGGAGGCACAUGGGGUGUUGUAAGCUGAAGAAAAUAGGUUCCAGCUGCAUAGCCAAAAACCAGCCUGAGCUUUAGAACUACAGGUGCUGGCUUGCUGGGAUAACCCACUAUCUUGCCCUAAAUCUACAGCUGGCUUGUUGGGAUUAAUCAACACAGACAUAGAUGCUGUCUGCCUACUUUGAUAAUCAGUGACAGCAGAGACAUGCCUUGAAGUGGACAUUUAUUUCUUAUUUUCUUUUCUUGUAUUUUUUUCUUUUUAUCAUUCUUUGUUCUUGUUUUUAUAUGAGUGUGAACAUUGUUUCUAAUUUUUUGGUUGUUGGUGUUCUGUUCUUGUCUUUAUUUCCUCCCUCUCUCAUUCCCUCCUGUCUUUCUUACCAGUUUCCCAAAGUUUGCAUAAUCUUCCUUUGUCCUCUAGCCUUGCUUAUCUUUCUUCUUCUUCUAUUCCUCUCUUGUUCCUCAUAACCUCUUUUAAAUUUUCUCCCCGAGGGUAAAAUUGCCAUACUGAGGGCAUUAUUACUGUAUACAAUUUUUAAUUUUGUUUAGGGUUUUGUUAUAUAACCACAAAUCUAGU
This 1273-nucleotide long non-coding RNA is filed under the name Heterocephalus glaber (naked mole-rat). RNAcentral describes it as "lncRNA (ENSHGLG00100043891.1)". The record is from RNAcentral. Lineage: Eukaryota; Metazoa; Chordata; Mammalia; Rodentia; Bathyergidae.